CCAGGGACGGGGGGCGGGGGGGGACUGCGGGCCCGAGAUGGAGCUGACAACGUGGGGUCAGUGUGGUUCUGAUGCACAGUGGGUCAUCACGAAGGAGGACACUUGCUAAAAUUAAGUUUUGAGGUUAAAGAAAUGACAGAUUCCUCGUCAGUUCUGUUCUGUGUUCUGGGGUCCGAUGUUGGGCGCAGGCCGUGGGGCCGUCUGGGCCCUACGGCAGCACAGGCAUGUCCAGCUGUGCUGCGGCUCUGAGGGUCCCAACCGUUGUCUGGAGAGGUCCCUACUCCAUCCAAGCCAGAGGAGAUGGCCCACCGUGACAUCUGUCUUCAGGUGGUGGGGCAGGAUGGGUGUAUGGGCAUCAAGAAAAGGGGCAGGGGGCAGAGCUGGAGGCCAGAGAGGGAGGACAUGCAGACAGCCGGGCUGGCAUAAAAAGGCAAGAUGAGUGGGCGUGACUGGUAAUUAUAAACUGGAUCACGAGGGUAGGGGUGCAGCUGGUGGGGGUGUGGGUGCACCAGGGGCCUGGAGUGAGCAUGCCUAACAAAGAUAUUGGGCAGCAAGAAAUGGGGCCCAAAUGGUGCAGGGAAGCCUCCAGAAGGUGUGAUGGUUGCCCUGCCCCCGUCUUCAAAACACAGCGUGACUCAGGUUGUCUCUGGGACCCCAGGCUGACAGAACCAUCCAAUCAAAUUGCAGCUCCUUCUGCCAGCAGAAUGCCCAGCGAGUAACCGCAGGUCCUGGUAUUGGGAACCUUUAUAUCUUUGGGGCAUGUGCCCCAAAUCUCCAGACAGACGAGGGGGUCCAGCGGCUGGUCCAUCCUCUGUGCCUGGACUUUGUGCUACUCCACUGCCCGCAGCGCCUGUCUCUGUCCUCGCCUCAGCCCGUCAGGAAAGGAAUAAAGUGAGACAUCAUUCCAGAGUCAAGAAGAAGAUAUGAAAAUUCUGUGCCAAUACAUUUGAUAAAAUGCACAGCUUUCUGGAAAAUACAACUUACUGAAACUGUAAGUUUAAAAAAGUUUUAAAUUUGUAAAAAUUUACAAAUUUCAUCUGUAGUUUAAAAUUUUCCCACCAAGAAAUCGAAAGGCUCAGAUGACCUCAUUAGUAAAUCCUUCUGAUCACUAGUAAAAUAUUAAUGGCAAUUUUAUACACAUUCCAGAGAAUAGGAAACCUGUGUUUGGAAGCCAGAAUAGCCUUGUUGCAAAAAACCCCAAGAACUAAAUUUUGAGAAAGGAACAAUUUUCAGUAUGUUUCAUGAACAUAGAUGAAAAGAUCUUAAACGAGAUAUUAGCCAAAUCAAUCACUGUCUAAGGCAGAUAAUUGUGAGAACAAUGGCUUAAUCACAUAGGAAACCUCAGCCCCAGGUUGCCGGGCACAGAGCUGUUCUGGUGAGUAUACAACAGAGUAGGAUCCAGCAACUGAAGACAGAACGUCACAUGGUGUAGAAUUCAGGGCUGAGUCCGUUGAGUUAGGCGUCAUGUUUAAUUCAGGGAGAAACGAGAUUCAGAUGAAAUAUUAAUUUUGCACGGGUAAGGAAGAGGCAGAUCCACGACAGAUACUCUUUUCUUCUAGUCUGGCUUUAAUCUGCUGCAAGACUCAGAUUUGCUGACAAGUGCACCUCAGAAGCUUCAUUUGUGGUUGGAGGCACCAGCCCUGAGGACCUCAUCCAGCGUGGAGCCUGGGGGAAGGAAUCCACAAGCCACUCCCCACAGAGGCCAGGCCACGGGUGUCCCUCCAGAGGGAGAAGCAGAAAGGGAUUUUCACGCCUCUGAGGAAGUACAGAAGGUCUCUCCACCCUCUUCGCCCCCUGCUCACCUGGACUCACAGUAUUUGUGAGUUUGGAGGAGGCGCUGAGUACGCUGAGCAGACCCCACCCGGUCUCUCUGGGGUAACCUGUCCUUAGGUCCUUCUUUCCUUCACAGAAGACACCUGUGGCUUUCCAGUUCACCUGUGGCUGGCAGGUGCAAAGUAUUGGGCAACCCACAUGGCCCCAGAUCUAGAUCAUUCCUCCAAUUCAGAGUUAUUCUUAAUAAAGCUGAUAUUUUCA
Molecule: long non-coding RNA, 2034 nt
Organism: Globicephala melas (long-finned pilot whale)
Lineage: Eukaryota; Metazoa; Chordata; Mammalia; Artiodactyla; Delphinidae
Source: RefSeq, a predicted model, not a curated record